This is an unclassified non-coding RNA of Chrysemys picta bellii (western painted turtle), 168 nucleotides long. Lineage: Eukaryota; Metazoa; Chordata; Testudines; Emydidae. The record is from Ensembl.
AUGACUGGCCUGGAGACUGAAGUCCUUUGUUUAUCUGCAGAACAGGUGCAUUAUGGACAACAGUAGAGCUGCAAUACCCAGCAUUGUGCCUUAUCCCCAAACUAAAGGGACUCCGUGUAGGGGGGAGAGGGUAUUUCAGUAUCUAUACCAAAUUAGUCAGGCACAUCA